GGAACGAACGCUGGCGGCAUGCCUAACACAUGCAAGUCGAACGAGACCUUCGGGUCUAGUGGCGCACGGGUGCGUAACGCGUGGGAAUCUGCCCUUAGGUUCGGAAUAACAGUUAGAAAUGACUGCUAAUACCGGAUAAUGUCUUCGGACCAAAGAUUUAUUGCCUAAGGAUGAGCCCGCGUAAGAUUAGCUUGUUGGUGAGGUAAAGGCUCACCAAGGCGACGAUCUUUAGCUGGUCUGAGAGGAUGAUCAGCCACACUGGGACUGAGACACGGCCCAGACUCCUACGGGAGGCAGCAGUGGGGAAUAUUGGACAAUGGGCGAAAGCCUGAUCCAGCAAUGCCGCGUGAGUGAUGAAGGCCUUAGGUUGUAAAGUCUCUUUUACCCGGGAUGAUAAUGACAGUACCGGAGAAUAAGCCCGCUAACUCCGUGCCAGCAGCCGC
This 443-nucleotide ribosomal RNA is filed under the name uncultured soil bacterium. Its description in RNAcentral is "bacterial SSU rRNA". It matches the Rfam family "Bacterial small subunit ribosomal RNA", at positions 27 to 518 of the family's 1533-position model. The record is from RNAcentral.